This 17078-nucleotide long non-coding RNA is filed under the name Capsicum annuum. Its description in RNAcentral is "long non-coding RNA (CANN_LNC020807)". Lineage: Eukaryota; Viridiplantae; Streptophyta; Magnoliopsida; Solanales; Solanaceae. The record is from RNAcentral.
UCAACUCAAGCUAAUGCCCUAGGGGGAAGCUAGGUCAAGCUUUAGCGGCAACUGAAAUCAAAGGAACAAUAGCGAGAGUAGGGAAACAUCCUGCAGAAAUAGGGUUUCAGAUGACACAGCUUUGCAAUCAAUUGUGUGAGGUUCAGAAGGUCAUUUGCUAGAGAUAGUGGUGGUGUUAGAUAUCCUACCGCAAAAGGCACGCCAGUGAAAUCCAGAUUGGUUUUGGGCAAAGAGAAGGAAAAAGAGUGAAAGAAGGUUAUUCAAUCUCCGAAAAUUACAAAUAGUCUAUCAUUGGCAGAUGAAGUAAAGUAGUGAAUGAAACAACUGGUAAGCCUUUUGCAACCAAUGUGAACUUUGUGAUCAAGGGAUCUGUAUGGGAUAACUUUGUUAUCUCUAAAAUUUCAAAUGCUGGAUUUAAAUUGGAGUAUGUCAAGAUAGAAAUAAAAAAGGAAAGCUGAUUUCUAAAAUUGAUGCAGAUGAUAUCAGUACAAAAGUUGAUUACUGAAAACACUCAGUAGUAUGUUAAUAUUUUGGGGGCACAUCCCCCUUUUUCACUGCUUAUUGGGUAUUUUCAAAGGCAAUGAGAGAAGUAUGAUAUUAAUAAGAUAGAUAUGAUGAAGAAUGACAUUGUCUUAAUUAGGUUUGAAACUACUGAGAGUCAAAGUAAGGUAUUACAAGGUAGGAUUAAUCAUUUUAAUAGUAAACCUUUUAUUGUUAAAGUAUGGAGUCCAAAACUGGAGUUCACUAAAGAAUCGUUGUCUGUUCCAAUAAAGAUUAAGAUGCCUGGACUGCAUUUCAAAUAUUUAAGUGCUAAAAGGCACUUAAUAUUGGUAUUUUGGUAAGGAAACCAUUGAUAAUUGAUAAACAUACUAAAAAGAAGGUUGGACUAACUUUGCAAGGUUAUUAGUGGAAAUAAAGAUUGGUGCAUCAUUGCCGGAGUGUAUCUACUUCAGGAAUGAAAAGGGGAAACUAAUUGAGUAGAAGGUGACAUAUUAUUGACAUCCUCUAUUAUGUAAGGUUUGUCAGAAGUCUGGUCAUAAAGAGGAUAUAUGUAGGAAGAAGAGAACUAAACUGAUGCAAGUCAGGAACUCUAAAGAAGGGAAAAACUAGUAAAAUGCAGGUGAUGAUAGAGCAGGGUUCAGCAUCUCAAGUUCAAGAGCCUGAUGCAUUGAAGAAUAAGCCAAAUGAGUGGAAUAGAGGUGGAAAAGGAAAAUUGACCAAAACUAUUGGCUAGAACAACCUAAUAAGGAUGGUAAUGUGACUACUACUAUCAUGACUGUCAACACUUAUAAAGCACUAACUGCAAACAAAGGAGUAUAAGCACCUCUAAAGAGACAGUUAAGGAUGGACAUAAUGAUACUAUGUUCCUAUCUGGGAAUAGUUAAAAUGCUUUGUUGAAAGGUUAGAAAUCUUAAUGGAUAAAUAAGUAAUAGGAGAUCAAGCUCUUCUAUAGUAAAUGAAUGUUGGAUUGAUGGAAUUUCUGGAAACAAAGGUUAAGGUGAAUAGAAUAAGUCAAAUAAUUAGUACUAUGUGUGGAGGAUAGAAGUGUAAUAGCAAUGAUGCCUCUCAUUAUAAUAGAAGGAUAUUAUUAAUAUGGAGAUUAGACUGGUUUGAAUUUACAUUGAGAGUGGAUCUACCUAAACAAUAGCCUACCUGGUGGAGUAUAUUCCUAAGCAACUCAUAUUUGUGACCGCUUUUGUCUAUACUUUCAACACAAAGGAAGAAAGAAAGAGUCUAUGGAAUUACCUUAAGGAAUAUUGGUAGUUUUCAAAUACCUUGAAUUAUUUUAGGAGAUUUUAAUAAUGUCUUACAUGAUGAUGACAGGAAAGGAGGGGUGCCAAUUUUAUUUGCUGAAGUAUAUGAUUUUCCGAAUUGACUUGAGUAUUAUAGUUUAACAGAGCUACUUAAUGGCUGCAAGUACACCUGUUCUGAUAACCAAGCUGAAAUAAUUUUCCCAAAAAUUGACUAAGUUAGGGUAAAGGGGGAACGGUUGGACAACAUGAAUAGAUGUAUCACCCAAUUUCACUCUGAAGGCAUUAAUGAUAAUUGCCCUUUGAUGAUCAACAUGCUGUAAACUAAUAAUAGAAGGAACAAAACUUUUAAGUAUUCUAACAUGUCGUGUAAGCAUUGAAAGUUAAUAGAGAUAAUUUAGACUACUUGGGGCACUCCAAUACAUGGUUAUAGUAUGUAUCAAGUGGUGACUAGAUUAAAAUUACUUAAGAAGAAAUUGAAGAAGCUACAUCAGUAGCAUUUUAAUAAUAUAAUGCAUGAAGCAGAUGAGGAUAGAGAGACACUUCACCAGGUUCAGGCCUAAUCCAGAUACUAGUAAUGUUAUGAUGCUACGAGAGAAAAGAGAGCUGAAUAUGAAGUUUAGGAGAUCAUCUAGCCUAACUGGAUCCUUCUUGUUACAAGAAGCAAAAAUACAUAGAUUAGACAAGAAAAUGAAUGCACUGAGUAUUUUUUUCUUUGUGAUUAAGCAAAGAAAACUUAUCCAAUCAAUUACUCAAAUUCAAGAUAUGCAAGGGAAGAUGCAAUAUAAACUUGAUAGCAGAGCUGAUAUAUUUUUUUCAGUAUUUUCAAUUCAUACUUAGUGAAUUAGGAGGUUCUAGAAGGAAGGUAAGUGAUGUAGUAUUUGCUCAAGGACAGACCCUCAUAGUUGCUCAACAAUGUGAAAUCUUAAGUCCUUGUAUUGAUAAAGAGAUCAAAGCUACAAAGUUUAGUAUUAAAGAAACUAAGAGCCAAGGCCUUAUGAUUUUAGUAGUGAUUUCUUUUAAGUUGCAUGGGGUAUAGUAGAUGAAAGUGUUUGUCCAGCUAUUACAGACUUCUUUAGAACAAAGGAACUGCUUGCUACCAUGAUCUUAAUGAUUUCUAAAGUGUCUAAUCCUUUGAGUGCUAGACCUAUAGCACAUUGCAAUGUUAUCUACAAGUGUAUUUCUAAGCUUUUGUGUAACAGACUGGUCAAAGUAUUACCUAGUAUUAUUAGUGCUAAUCAGACAGUUUUUUGUUAAAUAUGGGUCCCUGAUUCAUAAUGUGUUGAUGUGCCAUGACUUAUUGAGGCAUUAUAAUAGGAAGACUACUUUAAGAUGUCUCAUGAAGAUUGAUUUGAGGAAAGCAUAGGACAUGGUAUAUUGAGACUUUAUAGAGGAAAUAUUGAAAAGUUAUGGUCUCUCAAUCACGUUCUAUUAAUUGCUUAUAGCUUUUCGUAAAAUUGCCAGAUUCUUUGUGAAAGUUAAUGAUAAAGAAAGUGGCUAUUUUAAAGGUUAGAGAGGGUCGGUAUAGGGUGAUCCUAUCUCACAAUUUCUGUUUUAUCUUAGUUAUGGAGUACCUAACUAGAGUACUGAGUUUAAUGAGCAAUUUACCGGACUUCAAGUUUCAUUCAAUAUCCUAAGACUUGAACGAGCUCACCUUAUAUCUGUUGAUGAUUUGACAAUCUUUUGUAAAGGUCAAGUAGCUUCAGUUAAAGAAUUAUGGAUGCUAUUCAUCAUUUCUCACAAACUACAAGACUGACGGCUAAUAAAAAUAAGCCUAAUCUUCAUGUUUAGGAGUAGAUGAUAUAGUAAGGAAUACUCUAUUGACAUAUACAAUGGAUUUACCUUGGUCACCUUUCCAAUGAAGUAUUUUGAGCCUACCUCUGUCUCCAAAGAAAUGGAGUAAACUUGACUGCCAUUAAUUAUGUUUAAAGAUUACUGAAAAUAUUAGAGUCACUUCAACUAGGUAUCUGUCCUAUGCUGGAAAAGUUCAAUUAUAAACUGUAUUCUUUUUUCUCUUGGCAACUUUUAGGGGCAUGUUUUCAUCCUUCCUCAAAGUAUACUAAAAGAGGUAGAUAGAAAGAGCAAAUUUUUUCUUUGGGGUAGUACUAAGAAUAAAAGGAUAGUGACACUUAUAGCAUGGAGUGAUGUCUGCAAGCCUAGAGCACAAGGUCUUCUUAAUAUUAAAUUUUGCAAAAUCUGAAACAUUUCAGCUGUUGGUAAUUUGAUUUGGAUGAUAUGUCAAUAGAAGGAGGCUCUAUGGGUCAGAUGGAUUCAUGGAGUUUUUCUGAAGUAUGAUGCUUAUUUCUAAAACCAUAAACCUCCAAUUGAUUGCAACUGGUAUCAAAAAACUCUAAAUAAGAUGAAAGCAGGUAUGAUAGGGUGGUAUAGGAAUGGUAAUUUUUGUUUUAACUAUGAUAUGGUGGUAUAGGAAUGAUAAUUUUGUUUUAAAUACUUAUGAUAAAUACUCUGUCAAAAUAAGUUACCCGUUAUGAUUGAAGUAGGAACUUACCUUGACACUGCUGAACUUAUAUGGACCAAAAAUAUGAUACCUAAACAUAGAUUUAUAGUGUGAUUCUCUAAUGAAAAGAAAUUGUUAAUCAAAAGUAGGCUCAACUCUUGGGAGUAUAGUGUGGAAAUACCAGUUUUGUGUUGUGUGAGAAGCCAUGUUUGAAAGAUUUUAAUCAUCUAUUUAUACAAUGUUAAUAUACUAUUUUGCGGUGGAGAACUGUAACUGGUUGGGUAUUUAAAUGCCAUAAACAGACAUCAAAGGUAGUUUAGAGUGGAUCUGGAUCAAGCAAAAAUAUUGGACCAAGCUAAAGAAGGCUAUCGUGACAGUAGUGUAUGUAGCAGUAAUAUACUCAAUUUAACAAGCUAGAAAUUAAAAGAUAUUCAGGUAGUGUAUUGCAAGCAGGCUCUGACUCUUCAUCAAAUAAAGUUGCUUAUUAGAGAAGGAUUAUCAGUUGUGAAGAUAUCCAAAAGGGUAGGAAAGAAUAAAUAUUUGAUAGAGAGAUUGUGUUCUUAGCUUUUGGCCACAUUUCACAUGUUGGGAAUUGUGGUAUGUCUUUAGUUUAGGCUAUUGUUUGUUUUGGUUGUAUUACUCUGAUAAGUUGGUUGAUGCUGGUAAUAAAUUUUUACAAUUUAUUACUAAAUAAAAAUAAAAUUGCAAAUAACUUACAUGUUUAAAGUGUGAAAAAAUUAUCACUAAUAGCCGGUAUAUGCAAUUUUUGUUCAUUUUUUGGCAAUUCAUUACCAAGCAAAACGUUACAAAGCCUAGCAGUUGGCUAAAUUUUUUACAUACUUAAAAAACUCAUCGAUAAUUUUUCUCUGUAUAAAAAAUGCUCUCUCAUUUCUCUAGGUGAUUCGCUACUGACUUCUAUCUGAAUGACUGCAUUGCCAUCGGUAGAGCUUUUCCGACCCCAAAAGGAUUUACUUGAUAAUCCCCCCCCCCCCCCCCAUACCCCUAAAAAACAAAAAAAAAAAAAAACAAUUUCUGAUGACAAGUGGGAGUUGGUUCAAAAACUUAUUUUUCUAAGCUGAGUUAGAUGAUUCCAAGUCAUGGAAUUUAUCCUACAUAUCUAAUACCCUCUAAGGUGCGAAAUUCAAAGCAUAUUAACAUGUCAAUCGUAAGAAUUGAGCAAGGCCAUUUGACACUGUUGAGGAAAAAUUGUCGGAUGUGAGCCUUUAAAUUUGAUCACCUUGCAAGCUAAUUCAUGAUGAGAUAAAUGAAGACGAAGGUAAAGGAGAUAAAGGUGCUCAUAUUAGUCAAUGUUCAAUCCAAGGAGAUACGCGUGACACUGUCGGACUAUAUUGAAACUCUGGUGAGCAAUUUCUCACCGACGAAAAGGAUAAAACUCAAUGUCAAUCAAUAGAUGGGGAGGAUAUAAAUGCAAUUAUGCCAAUAUCCCUAAUUGUUGAUGUUCAAAACAUUUUGAAUUUGGAAAUUAGGUUUUUCAGUCCAAAAUCAUCGAACAAAAGUCAAAACAAAAUUUUGUCAAGUGUUGGAACCUUGAAGUUUUGAUGAAUGACAAUAUGAAUGAAACAAGUUGAUAUGAGUUAAUUCAAUGCAACUGAAAACUUCAAUUUACUGAUCACAUGGGGAAUAGAACAAGUUGAAUUUGAUUCAAACACUUGAUGAUAAGGGAAAACAAGUUUAGUUGAAAAAGGAGUCUUACGUAAAGAAGGAGUUUCACUUCUGAGUAUAUCUUGAAGAGUCUUAUGUGUGGGAGGAGAAAGAUUCUGAUAAAUUAAUAUGUGCUGAUUUAAAGAAUUGGAAUUUGACUACAACACCAAGGAGACAAGCGUUGGAAUUGAAGAAGGAGUCCCACUUGAAGUAGAACUCUAUGCAAUGAGAGUUUUGAUUAGAGGAGUUUGAAAUAAAGAAUGACUCUUUGGAGAGCUGUGCUUAAAUAGAAGAUGCAGCAGUCAGAAUAAUUCACGUACUUAAAAAGCAGAAAAGUACAAUCGACAGAUUGAAUUUACGAAGUGCUACUCAAUCAUUGAAGAAACACGUUGAAGAACCUGGUCCUCAGUACAGAACCCAGCUACGAGUUUUAGCGUUGAUUUUUAGAGUUGUUCAUUGUGUUUGAAUUAUUGAUGUAAUACUAGUUUCAGUGUGUUAUAAACUGAACUAGGAGCUAGUUUUCGAGUUGGAAAAACUCAGAGACUUUGGGAACGCAUACCUUGGGAGGUGUGUGUGUAGUUAGGAAUUAGAGUUUAUAAUUCCUAGUUGUUGAGUUAUAGGGAUUAGAGUUUAUAAUUCUUAUUUGUUGGUUACAAGAGUGUUGUAAUCAGUCGUUGUUGAGGCUCAGAGUUAUUUACUGAAGUUGGGGUUAAAUCCUGUAGAGGUGCAGGUCAUGGUUUUUUUACACCUUUUGAGCCGGGUGUUUUCCACGUAAAAAUCCAUUGUGUUCUUUACUUUUUGUUUUACUGCUUUCGUGGAACACGUCAAGCAACCCGUUCCAUCAAUAGGCAACAGUUAGGCGAAAAUAAAAUAAUCAGUAGGGCACGAAUUCUUAACAAGUGGUAUCAGAGCGAGGUUAUCUUAAAAAGGGCUAGCACCUAAGACAAAGAUCAAUAUGAUGAAUUUCGCACCACCUACCGAUCACAGUGAAGGUCAAUCUACUAUUAGACCUCCACUCUUUGAUGGUUCUCACUUCAUUUGGUGGAAAGCUAGGAUGGAAACAUUUAUUCAAGGCGAAGACUACGAGUUAUGGGAUAGGAUCACUGAUGGUCCUACUAUUUCAAUGAAGUUAGAAGAUGGGAAACAGGUCAAGAAAGUAAGAAGUGAAUUCACUCCUGAUGAUUUAUUGACAUUAAAGAAAAAUGCUAAGGCCAAAAACAUUUUGGUCUGUGGAUUAGGACCUGCUGAAUACAACAGGGUAUCAAUAUGCACCACUGCUAAGCAAAUUUGGGAUGCUCUAGUAAAUGCUCAUGAAGGCACAUCUCAAGUAAGAAAAUUUAGAAUUUCUCUUCUCUUCUCUUCACCGAGUAUGAGGCAUUUAAGAUGAGGGAGGAUGAAACCUUGCAUGAGAUGAUGACAAGGCUUACUGCCUUAACAAAUGUGCUGACCUUCUUAGGAAAAGUUAUAUCUAAAGAAGAAUAAGUCGAGAAGGUACUGGGGGUAUUACCAAAAUCAAAGUGGAAUGUUAAGGUGACUGUAAUCAGGAAAGCAAAUAAGGAUCUUGCAGGCAUGGCCCUGGAUGAAUUAGUGGGGAAUUUAAGAACUUAUGAAAUGGAAAUUGAUGGAACUAAAAUGGUAGCAGCUUGGGGAUUUGACUUAGAUGGAGAUGAAGUUGAUGAAGCAGCACUCAUGGCUCUUGGAGAUUCAGACUUGGAGGAAGAAGAUGAUGCUUCUGAGGUAAGUAUACUUGAACUUAAAGAAAAGUUGCAUUUGUUUUCUAAAACAAAACUUAUUUCCUUGAUGAGUGCACUAAUUGAUGACUUCCAAGAAUCAACUUCUGAUAGGGAUGAGCUAUUCAACAGUCUUGCAAGAAUCAAAUUUGAUUUUAUUGAUUUAGAAGCUUGCAAGAAACUGUUGAACAGGAAAACUGCUCUCUCAAGAAACAGAUUGAGCAACUUGAUUCUUCAAAUGACGAUCUUUAAGUCUGAAGUUCUAAAAUUGACACUCUCUGAAAAAGGAAAAAACACAGUGUAAAGAACAAGAAAAAGUUGAACUUGAAUUGGUCAAGUACAAAGAAGAGUGCAAUAAUGCAACAGAAAUGGUGAAUAAACCGAGUCAAGAAGUCUCUAAACUAAAACUUGACCUUGAGAGAGCAAACAGGUGGACAAAUUCCUCAAGAAUUGUUCAUAAGUUGAGUGAAAGAUAUCACAGUGAAAAAGCUGGGUUGGGUUUUCAUAAAAGUCUUGAUGUUUAUCAAGACUUGUGCUAUAUAUGUGGAAACCUUGGACAUCCAACCACUAAAUGUCCAGUUGCUGCCAAAAGUAGAUCCAGCAGUCUAAAUCUGGCAAAUAAACUAUCUCAGACCAAGAAAAGGAUAANNNNNNNNNNNNNNNNNNNNNNNNNNNNNNNNNNNNNNNNNNNNNNNNNNNNNNNNNNNNNNNNNNNNNNNNNNNNNNNNNNNNNNNNNNNNNNNNNNNNNNNNNNNNNNNNNNNNNNNNNNNNNNNNNNNNNNNNNNNNNNNNNNNNNNNNNNNNNNNNNNNNNNNNNNNNNNNNNNNNNNNNNNNNNNNNNNNNNNNNNNNNNNNNNNNNNNNNNNNNNNNNNNNNNNNNNNNNNNNNNNNNNNNNNNNNNNNNNNNNNNNNNNNNNNNNNNNNNNNNNNNNNNNNNNNNNNUAUUUUUUUUUAAAAAAAAAAAUGAGAAAAGAGGAUGACUGUGAAACUGAUGAGCAUGCACAGGAACAUGUUGUACCACCUGGUUCAACUGUUGUACAGACUGAGGGCAUAUUGACAGGGGAACAACAAAUAAAGAAAUAGAUGCAUCAAUAAAACCAAAGUUGCUGGUAAUUUUGUUAGUAGUUCAUAAAAAUUGAUGUUGUCAAAAUAAUCUUGAGAGAUCUCAUGGGAAUCAAUGGCUUGAGAUUAUGAUAUCCAAAGGAAAACAAUUUCACUCUUGGGGGCUACAACUAUUUGGGUUACUUAAUUGACUGGAGAAACAUCAAAGGCACUAAGUAGAGAGCAUUUUGCAAGGAAUAGGUUAGACUUGAGGAUGAUUAAAAUUGCAUGAACUCCCCUCAAUGAUUGACUAGAAUAAUCAUUUUUCUUUUUAAUCUUAUUAGCUAAAAAGUUAUUCUAUUCAGUCUUGCACAUUUAGUUUGUGUCCCAAUUCCAGAUUUUUGACUUUUCUAACCUAUUUUUGUAUUAGAUUGUGUAGAAAAAUAGGUACAAACAAGCAAUUAUGACCACAAAAUUCUUCUUAUCAGGUAUGUUCUGCACUGACAUAAGCAUAGGCUGUCUAAGUUGAAACAGUUGAGCACACCUGUUUAAUUCCACACACUUCAUCCUCUCAUUGUCUAAUAAAACUAAUGAAUUGUUGGCCAAACUUUCUCUGAUUCUCUCCAAAUGGGUGUGCACAAGUGUGUUAAUCCUAUACCAGAAAUUUCUUUUUCUUUCUCAACCAAAAUAUCAGUUGUGUACCAUGGAUUUGCCAAGCUUGAUCAUCAAUCACAUGCAACAUAUGUUUUUGAAGAAUGAAAAGGGACAUGCUUUCCCUUUUAGUUGCUAAUUGGUAAUUUUUUUUGGGCUUCUCAGUCCUAAAUCAGGUUUGACUUAUAGAAAAAAAUAGAUGUUCUUGAACAGAUGAAUCAUGUUGCUCUACCUGUUUCAAUAAGGAGGACUAAGACUCAUUUGAGAAAAAAAAAUUUCUGAACUAGAAGCUGCAUAAGAUAGCCAUGAAGUGGAAUAAGAGGUCUUUAAGGUUAGGAUCAUGACUUUGAAGCUGGACCUUGAUUGAUAGAGGGAUGAAAAUGUUGAAGUCAUUCAUCAAUUGACACAGUUGAUAUCACCUGUUCCACCUUCCUCAUCAACUCCUCACUAUUUGUAUCCUUAGCCAUGUCCGACUUUUAUAUCGUAUUUUUUUUAAUGCUCAAUUGUUUUGCUUUGUUCAGUACUAGCUUAGGUUUAAUGUGGAACAUGCUCUGUCAGUUAAAUGGAAUGGUUAUCUUUGCUAAAUUGACUCAUAUUUUUGCUCUCUUUAAUACAUUAUUAGGUUGGCUAAAGUCUUUGUUUGAUUGUUUUGGUGAUAGCCCCAGUGGCCAUGAAUAGCAUAACAAAUCACUUUGGCUAAUAUAUUAUUGCAUUGAAAUGGUUUUUCGAUGAUGCCAAAAGGGGGAAGAUAAGAGGGUUGUGUAAUGUUUAUAACCCAUUGACUAACUUAUUCAUUAUAGUGUUUAUACUUUAGUGCCUACAGGUAAAGAUAUUUGGGUGCACAAAGACAAGAGGUUUGUCAUCAUCAAAACGGGAAAUUUGUUGGAACCUUGAAGUUUGAUGAAUGACAAUAUGAAUGAAAUAAGUUGAUAUGAGUUAAUUCAAUGCAACUGGAAACUUCAAUUUACUGAUCACAUGGGGAAUAGAACAAGUUAAAUUUGAUUCAAACACUUGAUGAUAAGGGAAACAAGUUGAGUUGAAAAAGGAGUUUUAUGUAAAGAAGGAGUUUCACUUCUGAGUAUAUCUUGAAGAGUCCUAUGUGUGGGAGGAGAAAGAUUCUGAUAAAUUAAUAUGUGCUGAUUUAAAGAAUUGGAAUUUGACUAGAACACCAAGGAGACAAGAAUUAGAAUUGAAGAAGGAGUCUCACUUGAAGUAAAACUCUAUGCAAUGAGAGUUUUGAUUAGAGGAGUUUGAAAUAGAGAAUGGCUCUUUAGAGAGCUGUGCUUAAAUAGAAGAUGCAGCAGUCAGAAUAAUUCACGCACUUAAAAAACAGAAAAGCACAAUCGACAGGCUGACUUUACGAAGUGCUACUCAAUCACUGAAGAAACACGUUGAAGAACCUGGUCCUCAGUAUAGAAUCCAGCUAAGAGUUUUAGCGUUGAUUUUUAGAGUUGUUCAUUGUGUUUGAACUAUUGAUGUAAUAUUAGUUUCAGUGUGUUAGAAACUGAACUAGAAGCUAGUCUUCAAAUUGGGAACACUCAGAGACUUUGGGAACGCAUACCUUGGGAGGUGUGUGUAGUUAGGAAUUAGAGUUUGUAAUUCCUAGUUGUUGAGUUAUAGAGAUUAGAGUUUACAAUUCUUAUUUGUUGGUUAUAAGAGUUUUGUAAUCAGUCGUUGUUGAGGCUCAGAGUUAUUUACUGAAGUUGGGGUUAAAUCCUGUAGAGGUGCAGGUCGUGUUUUUUUACACCUUUUGAGCCGGGUGUUUUCCACGUAAAAAUCCAUUGUGUUCUUUACUUUCUGUUUUACUGCUUCCGUGGAACACGUCAGUCAACCCGUUCCAUCAAUAGGCAAUAGGCAACAGUUAGACGAAAAUAAGAUAAUCAAUAGGGCACGAACUCUUAACAUCAAGUCAAAGCUCCAAUUCUCAAGUCGAAGUAUUACAACAAGAUCAUAGGAGUACUGUUAUGCCAAAACACCAUGGUACCUUUUAAAUCAAUGAAUUCCAAUUUCAAUAAUCCUACAGUUGCCGAUUUGGGUAUCAUGAUGUUCUGGGGGAUGUGAAUUCUAUUGGUCAAUGUUAAACAUCUAGUUGUUAUAUGGGGAAGGUGAAUUUCACAAAAGGUCCUUCAAAUUAUGCUCAAGGCUUGUGUAAUUUGAAAACUAGGUUUUCAGUUGAAAGUGUCAAUGUUAAUUAUUUUGAUGAAGGAAAUUCUGAUUCUAUAAACUUUGAGGGUGUUAGCAAGACACCAACAGAUGUCAAUUCAGGUGUCUACAAGUUCUUUGUCAAUUCAUUCUCAAAAUGGUGGUAAUGUGUUGAAAGCUAAAGAUACAAACACUGGUAAAAUAGUUUCUAUUGAGAAUAUAUCUCAAAAACAAGCUAUUGAUCAUGGUCAAGGUGGUAGGAAUAAGAAUAAGCAAAAAAUUACUGAGGAACUUCAAAAAACUAUUCCUAAACCUUAUGUGCCUAAUAAUAAAUCAAUGGAAGUUUCCAGCAAAUUUGCUAAGUCUACUCCUGCAGAUCCUAACUUUAAUGAGCUACAUGUGGUUAAUGAUUUUGAUAAAGAAAAAGUUGAGGAUCCUAACGUUGUCUGCAAUAAUCAGACUCAUCAAAGAGAUAAGGCUACAAAGAUUCCUAAUCCUCCUGAUCCUUGGGUUGCUCAUACUGUGGUCACUAAAUUAAGAGCUCAAAAAGCUGUGAAGAUGUCCACAAUUGGAUUACACCUCCAAAGAUUACUACAAAACAUGAGUUGCCAGCAGUGGUGUUCAGGCCUAAGGAUCGAAUGUGAAACUUGCUGAAAAAUACAAGUAUACUCUGAUUGGUAAGCUUACUAACACUAUGCCUAAAAUGGAAAUCAUUAGAAAAUAGUUUAUUUUGCAAAUUGAGCUUAGGGGUGGUGUUAAGUUGAGUCAUUUUAAUGUUAGACAUCUUUCUAUUGAUUUGGUGAACGCGAAUGAUUAUACUACCGUGUGGGCUAAAGGUAAGAUGUCUAUUGAUAGGUAACUGAUGAGGUUACAAUUGUAGACACCUACUUUUAGAUCUGCCGAAGACACCUCUUGUUCCUAUAUGGCUUAUUCUACCCGAGUUACCGUGGCAUGGUUAUUAUAUGAAAGUAUCGUCACCUCUUUUAUCCCUUAUACGAAAAGCUCUGUUCCUUGAUUUAGCAACAUAUAAGAAGACUAGGGGUAGUGUUUCUUAGGUGAAAAUCCAAGUUGAUCUUACCAUGUUUGGAUGGGGUAUGGUGAAGAUGAGAAUGGUGAAGACAUGUGACAGCCUAUACAAUAUGAGGGAGUCUUCAGUAUUAUACUUAUUGAAAGCAUCAAGGGCAUUUAAUCAUGUCUUGUAAUGUUAAGAGUAAUGAUAAUGAGGCAAGAAGAAGCAAAAAAAAUGAAAGAAGCUGAGAAAAAUGUCAAUAUGCAGAAGCAACUUGAUUUUAAUAAUACCACUGGUCCUAGAAAUGAAGAGAGAAAAUCAGCACCUGCAAGACAAAAUGAUCCAGACUCAGCAAACUGAAAUUCAACAACCUCACGCACAAGAUCAGCGGCAAGUAUAAAGAAGAAGAGGUAAAAGAAAUAAUCAGCAACAACAACAAUACAACCAAAAUCGACAAGAGCAGUCUUUUCAACAUCAAGUUUACAAACCUAGAUCACCUUAGCAAAAUACUACAGAUACACAGAAAAAUCAGCUACAACAACAAACAAGUUUAUCUUCUCAACAACAUGAAAAUUAUCCAAAAGAUUAUAAUGUUGAUUCUGGAGUCCGGAAUCAACAACCCCAUCCCCAUGAUGCUAUUAUUAGUUCCGUUAAUCCCACAAUCCCAACAAGAUGAAAGUGUGUAGAAUCUCAACAAAUAAAAUCAAAAUAUUGAUAAAAAUGGCAAUAAGAAAUGGUAACAAUACUUAAGCCAAAAUAAUAUGGUUGCUGAUAAUAUCCCCAAAAAUGGGAUCAUAGUUACCGACUCAAUGAUCCAUCAACCCCACCCAUUUAAUUUAAAUGUGCAAAGUGUGAAAAAGCUCAAUUUUGAGCACAAAAGAGAAGUUGCUGCUGAUAAUUUUCCAAAAAGAAAAUCAUGUGUUGAAUCAAUGCUCCAUUAACUCACUCUAAUAUUUUUAAUGUUUUAUCUAGUGAUGAGGUUUAUGGGGGUGAGACUGGUGUUCAGGAGAAAAUUACUAACUUGCAGAAAGGGGUUACCAAAGUGAAUGGAUUAGAAUUUAGAGCCCCUGUUGCCAUUAUGAAAAACCAACAUAUUGCGGAUGUGAAUUUUUCCACUGAAAAUUUGACUAAAUUGAGUGAUACAGAUCAGUGUACAGAGGUGUAAAUUAAUGGUACCAAGAUGAUGAAAGGGGUUCAGUCUGAAGGUUCAGAAUUUGAUCAAAUUAAUGAGUGGAGUGCAGAUGAUCCUAGUACUCCUAUCAGUGUUUAUUUAGAAGAUGAACAUGAUCCAAUGUAGGGUAAUUCUAUAGAUUAUAGGGUGGGUGAUCUUUCUCAUCCUUUAAGCAAUAAGGCUACAGUUGAUUUCAACAAGAAGAAACGAGAUCAAAUUAAAAAGGGACAAGAUAUGGGUGAUAGCAAUGAUAAAAAUCAACAGCAAGGUGGUAAUAACAAGUUUGUUUUACUGGCUGAGCAAACAGGUUUACAUAUUGACCCUCUACAAGUUAAUGAUCAGAGAGUUGAUAGUCCUAAAUGUUGGAACCCGGGGGGUUGCACCAUACCGUGAGGGAUCAGGUCUCUCAAAAUUAGUCACAGGCAAAAACACAGUAAAUGAAACAGGAACACACUACAGUGCAGGAAAUUUAAAGAACACAAAAUUUAACGUGGAACCCCCUUGCUCAAUGAAGGAAAACCACAACUUACUGUAAUACCCUGCGAUUUUCCUAGCUUAAACUCAUCCCGAAAAAUGUCAAAGAUUAGCUCUUAGAAUGAAUGACAUUUAUUUUUUGUGGAAUUCUUUAGAUUUGAACUUUCCAUGGCGUAUAAAAUUGAAUAAGCUUUCCAACGAUAUAAGAUUCGCUUAAAUCCGAUAACCGAGUAAGAAGUAAUGGCUAUUUUAAGUUCCAGUCGUAAAUCACCGUCAUUUGGACCCUUCGCGCGUCGCGGAGCAGUGUAAAAUCCCAAUUGUCAUUUUCCAGUGGCCCUUCGCGAUAUUGGCGCGUCGCGGAGAGGGUCAAUUUCCCAUUGGUCCAUUUCUAGAGGUCCAGUGCGAUAAUGGCGCGUCGCGCCAUGUGCCAAAAUGGCAUUGCAAAGGGGCACCUCGAUGACCCCACGUCGCAGAGUCUGCCUAGUUCCCAGUUGGCAUUUUCCAGUGGCUUGGCGCGAUUGUGGCGCGACGCCAAAAGUCAGAAUUUUUGGGUCGUUUUCCAGUUUCGAUUUAGAGUUUAAUAGGGGCAUUUUGGUCAAUCCCCAGGGCCCCAAAUCCGUCCAAAACACUUCAUUAAUCAAAUGCUAAGUCACUUUAUGCUUAUUUCAUUACUUUUCUCUUAAAAGUAAACGCUAGUUCAUCAACUUAUUCCCCAAGAAAUCCAAAAUUUCCCUAUUAAUCUUUCAAGGAAAUUCAAGAUUUAGAAUUCUCAAUACAAGAACGCGAAGAAGCCAUCUCCAAAACAUCAAUAGGAAUCCAGGUUCGAGUUCCUUAUCAAAGAUCGUUAAAUUAAGGUAUGUGGGGUUUGAACAAGGACAAUCCGUUAGUCCUUGUGCCCAAAAUUAUGUUUUUCAAUAAAUUUCUUAUGAUUUGAAAUUUGGGGUUUACACCCAUAGUAUCUUAUUGAUGAUUUUGAGUAUGAUAUGAUUGAAUUAUAAAAUCCCAUGUGUAUUUUGAGUUAAAGAAUGCUCUUUUAUGAUUUUGAAUACCAUGAGCAUGAUUUGAAAUAUUGUUGACAACUUUUCAAUUGAAUUGAGCAUGAUAUUGUGAUUUAAAGUCAUUAUCUUGAUAUUAUUGAAGCAUGGACUACUAUCCAAGAUUGAUUAUUGUGAUUUCAAGAAAGUUGAUGCUAUAAGCAUCUUAUGAGCAAGAUUGUUUAUAGUUUCAAUACAGCUUUGAUCUUUUGAUCAUUGGUUUAGCUUUGGAAUCCACAUUAUAUAUCAUUACAACAACAACAACAACAACAAACCCAGUGUAUUUCCACACAGUGGGGUCUGGGGAGGGUAAAAUGUACGCAGUCCAUAUCACUACCUUCGGAGAGGUAGCAAGGCUGUUUCCGAUAGACCCCCGACUCAAGACAAAGAAUAAUAAGCAAAUUCAUAAUACAGCAUGAAAUGAAAUAAUGCGUAAAGAUAUAUAUAUAUAUAUAUAUAUAUAUAUAUCCUAGAGCUUUGCAUUUUAUUCCGAUAGAGAAAACAAGUUGAAUUGGCAUGCCAUGGUGCGAUGACUAAAUUUACAGCUAAACAGUAAAGAUUGCUCUCGUCUUCGAACUUUAAGGUUUUUUAGAGAGAAACAGAAUUCAGUUCACUUCAUACGAGAAUAAUCCUUACAUUAAAAGUAAAGAAAGAUAAAAAAGAAAAAAGCAAGCAUUAAAAGGUUUACCAAGAAAGCAAAGAACCCACCUGAUCGAAGAAACCUCUUUUGGCUGUUUCUUCCCACAAUCGAAGCAUAGAAAGGGCAAUACCACCGGACAAUCCAGAGGCGACUAAAUCUCCUAUGAACAGAUUUUCUGAAAACAUUGUAAAAUCUACAACUUUAAUCCUCGUGCUCGGGUGUAAUCUUCUGGUUUUAAGCUUUUGGAAUCCCAAAUUAACCCCUUUCUUACUGCAGAAGAGAGAAUACAUUAUAUAUUAUUACAAUUUACAAAAACUCAGAACAGUUUUGUUCACAAACUUACUAAAGUUAGUGCAUAAAUGGUUUUUCAUAUAAAUCCUUAUGCUAGCUUUAAGAGUGAAUUUCCAAUGGUUUUCAGCAUAUAGAUCUUAAAGGGAGUAGUAUUUAGCACCGAGCGGGAAGUAUGAGAUUAGCGUGCCCUAUCUUGCACAGAACUACGUAGCCAACGUAUGUACAACUCAGAUUAUUUCCAUUUAUAUGGAUGACAGAUUUAGCUUGUGAUCAAUCACAUGGAUUAGGUUAUACUCCCUGGCAAGAGUAUGACACCUCUCCCCAACGUGAGGUUUCCUUCUUAGGAGGUCAAGACGUUGGACUCCCUACUAGUAAAAGAUAUACAACUUUUUAGAUAAAGUAUUUUCCCUAAAGCUUUGAAAGAAUCCCCUUGCAGAAUAAGUUUUCAGAUAUGAUUUGAGAACAAGAACAGUUAUAGAUUUUAGAACUAAGUGUAAUGACUCACAAGAUUCUUACUACAUGCUUUACUAUUCAUGAUUUAUGAUAUUUAGAUUUCAGAUUUACUCAAGCUAUGUGAGUCAUUUACAUUUAGCAUGCAUGAUUUGAUAAAAUGUGAUGAUAUUAUUUACUUAUUGUAUGCACCCCUAUAUACUCAGUACAUUCUUAAAGUACUAAUUCACAUAUACGUCUAUGUGCUACAUUGUCUCAUAAUGUAGGUUCAGGUGCUCAGUCUCAGCAUCGACAGUGAUUUCCGAGCAUCUCAUCUAUAUCCUGCAGUUGGUGAGUCCUCAUAUUUUGGGGACUUAGCUAUUCAUGUUCUCAGUUUAUUAAUAGAUAUUUCAGUUUAGUCCAAGUCAGCUGGGGCCUGUCCCAGUGACUCUCUAGAUUCAGUUAGUAGAGGCUUGUCGGACUACCAGAUUCAGUCUUAGAUCUUAUUUGUCGUAUUCAGACUUUUAGUAUUUGUUUAAUCCGAUUGAUGAGAUUAGUAAUUUCAGAUAUAUUCAGAUUAUUCAGAUAGUUUUUC